This 407-nucleotide ribosomal RNA is filed under the name uncultured bacterium. Its description in RNAcentral is "partial 16S ribosomal RNA". It matches the Rfam family "Bacterial small subunit ribosomal RNA", at positions 30 to 526 of the family's 1533-position model. The record is from RNAcentral.
AUUGAACGCUGGCGGCAGGCCUAACACAUGCACGUCGAGCGGAGCGGCGAACGGGUGAGUAAUGCCUAGGAAUCUGCCUGGUAUUGGGGGAUAACGUCCGGAAACUGGCGCUAAUACCGCAUACUAUCAGAUGAGCCUAGGUCGGAUUGGCUAGUUGGUGGGGUAAAGGCCUACCAAGGCGACGAUCCGUAACUGGUCGGAGAGGAUGAUCAGUCACCUGUGAACUGAGACACGGUCCAGACUCCUGCGGGAGGCAGCAGUGGGGAAUAUUGGACAAUGGGCGAAAGCCUGUUCCAGCCAUGCCGCGUGUGUGAAGAAGGUCUUCGGAUUGUAAAGCACUUUAAGUUGGGAGGCGUUUCCAUCAGAAUAAGCACCGGCUAACUUCGUGCCAGCAGCCGCGGUAAUUC